This 276-nucleotide long non-coding RNA is filed under the name Lathyrus oleraceus (garden pea). RNAcentral's name for it is "Pisum sativum (pea) long non-coding RNA (PSAT_LNC008302)". Lineage: Eukaryota; Viridiplantae; Streptophyta; Magnoliopsida; Fabales; Fabaceae. The record is from RNAcentral.
UGACAUUUUAUUAGUUUUGAUUUGAAAACUUCUUACUUUUUUUUUUGUUUGUACUUUUUCCCUUUUCCUUUGGAAACAAUAAAAGCGCGGUGGCGACUCUUGUUAUUUGAUCUCUAGCAUGUCAAUAGUUGUAUGAUCAUGAAUUUACCGCUACAGUAUUGUGUGGAAACUUGGCCUUUUUUCCUUCCUUUGGGAGAUGUCUUGGUUCAAGGAUCCAUGCUUGUGAUAAGUAGAUUGAGUGUUCUCCAAAGAAUGACUUAAAAAAGCAAAAGCAAU